This 2933-nucleotide ribosomal RNA is filed under the name Escherichia coli. RNAcentral describes it as "23S ribosomal RNA". It matches the Rfam family "Bacterial large subunit ribosomal RNA". Lineage: Bacteria; Pseudomonadati; Pseudomonadota; Gammaproteobacteria; Enterobacterales; Enterobacteriaceae. The record is from RNAcentral.
GGGUUGUGAGGUUAAGCGACUAAGCGUACACGGUGGAUGCCCUGGCAGUCAGAGGCGAUGAAGGACGUGCUAAUCUGCGAUAAGCGUCGGUAAGGUGAUAUGAACCGUUAUAACCGGCGAUUUCCGAAUGGGGAAACCCAGUGUGAUUCGUCACACUAUCAUUAACUGAAUCCAUAGGUUAAUGAGGCGAACCGGGGGAACUGAAACAUCUAAGUACCCCGAGGAAAAGAAAUCAACUGAGAUUCCCCCAGUAGCGGCGAGCGAACGGGGAGGAGCCCAGAGCCUGAAUCAGUGUGUGUGUUAGUGGAAGCGUCUGGAAAGGCGCGCGAUACAGGGUGACAGCCCCGUACACAAAAAUGCACAUGCUGUGAGCUCGAUGAGUAGGGCGGGACACGUGGUAUCCUGUCUGAAUAUGGGGGGACCAUCCUCCAAGGCUAAAUACUCCUGACUGACCGAUAGUGAACCAGUACCGUGAGGGAAAGGCGAAAAGAACCCCGGCGAGGGGAGUGAAAAAGAACCUGAAACCGUGUACGUACAAGCAGUGGGAGCACAGAGCAAUCUGUGUGACUGCGUACCUUUUGUAUAAUGGGUCAGCGACUUAUAUUCUGUAGCAAGGUUAACCGAAUAGGGGAGCCGAAGGGAAACCGAGUCUUAACUGGGCGUUAAGUUGCAGGGUAUAGACCCGAAACCCGGUGAUCUAGCCAUGGGCAGGUUGAAGGUUGGGUAACACUAACUGGAGGACCGAACCGACUAAUGUUGAAAAAUUAGCGGAUGACUUGUGGCUGGGGGUGAAAGGCCAAUCAAACCGGGAGAUAGCUGGUUCUCCCCGAAAGCUAUUUAGGUAGCGCCUCGUGAAUUCAUCUCCGGGGGUAGAGCACUGUUUCGGCAAGGGGGUCAUCCCGACUUACCAACCCGAUGCAAACUGCGAAUACCGGAGAAUGUUAUCACGGGAGACACACGGCGGGUGCUAACGUCCGUCGUGAAGAGGGAAACAACCCAGACCGCCAGCUAAGGUCCCAAAGUCAUGGUUAAGUGGGAAACGAUGUGGGAAGGCCCAGACAGCCAGGAUGUUGGCUUAGAAGCAGCCAUCAUUUAAAGAAAGCGUAAUAGCUCACUGGUCGAGUCGGCCUGCGCGGAAGAUGUAACGGGGCUAAACCAUGCACCGAAGCUGCGGCAGCGACGCUUAUGCGUUGUUGGGUAGGGGAGCGUUCUGUAAGCCUGUGAAGGUGUACUGUGAGGUAUGCUGGAGGUAUCAGAAGUGCGAAUGCUGACAUAAGUAACGAUAAAGCGGGUGAAAAGCCCGCUCGCCGGAAGACCAAGGGUUCCUGUCCAACGUUAAUCGGGGCAGGGUGAGUCGACCCCUAAGGCGAGGCCGAAAGGCGUAGUCGAUGGGAAACAGGUUAAUAUUCCUGUACUUGGUGUUACUGCGAAGGGGGGACGGAGAAGGCUAUGUUGGCCGGGCGACGGUUGUCCCGGUUUAAGCGUGUAGGCUGGUUUUCCAGGCAAAUCCGGAAAAUCAAGGCUGAGGCGUGAUGACGAGGCACUACGGUGCUGAAGCAACAAAUGCCCUGCUUCCAGGAAAAGCCUCUAAGCAUCAGGUAACAUCAAAUCGUACCCCAAACCGACACAGGUGGUCAGGUAGAGAAUACCAAGGCGCUUGAGAGAACUCGGGUGAAGGAACUAGGCAAAAUGGUGCCGUAACUUCGGGAGAAGGCACGCUGAUAUGUAGGUGAAGUCCCUCGCGGAUGGAGCUGAAAUCAGUCGAAGAUACCAGCUGGCUGCAACUGUUUAUUAAAAACACAGCACUGUGCAAACACGAAAGUGGACGUAUACGGUGUGACGCCUGCCCGGUGCCGGAAGGUUAAUUGAUGGGGUCAGCGCAAGCGAAGCUCUUGAUCGAAGCCCCGGUAAACGGCGGCCGUAACUAUAACGGUCCUAAGGUAGCGAAAUUCCUUGUCGGGUAAGUUCCGACCUGCACGAAUGGCGUAAUGAUGGCCAGGCUGUCUCCACCCGAGACUCAGUGAAAUUGAACUCGCUGUGAAGAUGCAGUGUACCCGCGGCAAGACGGAAAGACCCCGUGAACCUUUACUAUAGCUUGACACUGAACAUUGAGCCUUGAUGUGUAGGAUAGGUGGGAGGCUUGGAAGUGUGGACGCCAGUCUGCAUGGAGCCGACCUUGAAAUACCACCCUUUAAUGUUUGAUGUUCUAACGUUGACCCGUAAUCCGGGUUGCGGACAGUGUCUGGUGGGUAGUUUGACUGGGGCGGUCUCCUCCUAAAGAGUAACGGAGGAGCACGAAGGUUGGCUAAUCCUGGUCGGACAUCAGGAGGUUAGUGCAAUGGCAUAAGCCAGCUUGACUGCGAGCGUGACGGCGCGAGCAGGUGCGAAAGCAGGUCAUAGUGAUCCGGUGGUUCUGAAUGGAAGGGCCAUCGCUCAACGGAUAAAAGGUACUCCGGGGAUAACAGGCUGAUACCGCCCAAGAGUUCAUAUCGACGGCGGUGUUUGGCACCUCGAUGUCGGCUCAUCACAUCCUGGGGCUGAAGUAGGUCCCAAGGGUAUGGCUGUUCGCCAUUUAAAGUGGUACGCGAGCUGGGUUUAGAACGUCGUGAGACAGUUCGGUCCCUAUCUGCCGUGGGCGCUGGAGAACUGAGGGGGGCUGCUCCUAGUACGAGAGGACCGGAGUGGACGCAUCACUGGUGUUCGGGUUGUCAUGCCAAUGGCACUGCCCGGUAGCUAAAUGCGGAAGAGAUAAGUGCUGAAAGCAUCUAAGCACGAAACUUGCCCCGAGAUGAGUUCUCCCUGACUCCUUGAGAGUCCUGAAGGAACGUUGAAGACGACGACGUUGAUAGGCCGGGUGUGUAAGCGCAGCGAUGCGUUGAGCUAACCGGUACUAAUGAACCGUGAGGCUUAACCUUACAACGCCGAAGGUGUUU